This is an RNA transcript of Syngnathoides biaculeatus (alligator pipefish), 3224 nucleotides long. It is a transcript of the gene named kiaa0895l, with no coding region annotated. The record is from RefSeq and is a predicted model, not a curated record. Lineage: Eukaryota; Metazoa; Chordata; Actinopteri; Syngnathiformes; Syngnathidae. The transcript is spliced from 10 exons.
GUAAAACUUGACCUUUUCUUGACACUUGAACCGGAAUAUAGUAGUGUUUCUCUGCCGGGUCACACAACGUCAUACGUUCCACCGCCACUGCUGCCGCUUCCUGUCGAGUCCAGGCAGGCACACGCCGCAGGCCCGCUUCACGCCUUACCGUUAUUUGACUUUUUUGUCCAAUGCUGCUCCAGAUCCUUCAGACUUCAAACACCAGAACUGCCGCAUGCUGCUCAGGACCUGCGGACGGAAUGUGCUAGAUUGGAAAACCUCUACGGCUUUUUGCCCGAAUGAGGGAGAGCUGGUGGGUUUGGUGAUGGUGUUGGAUACAGCUGUAGUCUUCAUGGAUCAUGGCGAGGAUGACCACUCUGAAGGCAGUAGGGAUUGCUUGGAACUGAAGAACUCUAAAGCUGCCAAAACCAGAAACAACACUGAAACCAUGCUACGACCUCAGGCUAGAAGGAGUAAUGUUUCCAAGCAGGAGAAAGCCCCCCCAAACUGGUUCUUGGCUCAGAAAGACACUGAGCAUGUGGUAGCGAGCAAACAAGUGUCAAAAGCAUGUGCCACAGCCAGACCUCAACUCUGUCGGCCUGUCAGCUUUGACAUGACAUCUCAGUGCCUGCAAAGGUCUCAGGAGCAGAUUGCAGACAGCCGGCUUACUAGGCUGACUAGCCUCAGCCUGGGUGCUGGUGGUUGGAUCCGCCGCAGUGAGAGCACAUCCUCAGUCACCCACUCCCUGGGGCUGAGUGCUAAACAGGGGAAAAUGCGAUCUGCCACGUCUCUACCACACAUUGCUAAAGCCGUGAAAAGCAGCACACUGUCCCCGUCCACAUGGCCAUGUCUGCUGGUUGCGCUCAGGCCUGUGAACCUUGAGCAGGAGAAGCAUAAGUUCUUCCAGUGUGACUACAAGUAUGACCCCCAAUUCAAGUAUGCUCAGCCGGAGCCGAAGUCUGUGCUAGACAAAUACUGCGAGGGCUCUGAUUUCUUUCUCGAGCAGGCUGUUGGAAUCAUGGAGUGUGUCCUGAAGAAGUUUGGCUCCUAUGAGAAUUUUGAGGAGGUCACAGGUGGUACUGUGCUUCCCAAGAGUCAGGUGUGGGCCACUGUGCGGAAAUAUUUGCAAAAGGAAGGCUGUGUAGGGUCCAAGAAUGGCAAACCGGACACGCUUUCGCGGGUCCACGAGGGGGAUCGGGAGGAACCAGCGGCCAUUCCAGUCUUGCCUGAGGCAUGCUUCAUGUCCGGCUUCACCUGGGAGGUAGAGACACAGAUUCUCCAAGAUGGUCCACUUCAUGCCGGCCCCGAAGAUCUCGUCUGCCAAGCAGACAGCCCAGUUGCUGCUGGACGAGGUCAUUCGAUACCACAGGCUUCCAGUGGAUAUCGUGUCGGACAGAGGACCGCAGUUCAUCUCGCGUUUCUGGAAGGAGUUCUGCACCCUCAUCGGCGCUUCGGCAAGUCUGACAUUAGGCCAUCACCCGGAGUCCAGUGGCCAGACAGAGAGGGUAUGGCUCCGUUCCAUGUUGUGCAUGGCUACUGCCCCUCUCUGUUCCCUUCGGUUCCCAUGGACUCCGCGGUGCCGUCGGCCCUGGCGGUGGUACGUCGUUUUAAGCGGACCAGGGAGACAGCACGCAGGACGCUACUGCGCAUGGGCAGCGCCUAUAAGUCUGCAGCGGACCGCAAGAGGAGAGGCGCGCCGACGCUCAAGGUGGGACAGCGAGUGUGGCUAUCCAUCAGGGACCUUCCGCUGCGGACUGAGUCCCGCAAGCUGUCCCCCAGGUCGAGGAAGGUCCACCCGACGUUCCACGUGACCAGGCUCCGCCCGACCCGUCCGUCGCUGCUGGUUCCUCCGGUCCCACUCCCGUUCGGCUCUUAAUGCGGUUGUGGUGCGUCUCUCUGACGAGUUGCUAUCUCAGGCUGUCAUGAUGGUGGAGAGCUGUCGUCCCACUCUGACCAUCAACCUGGCUGGAGCCCGCCAGCACUGGGUGGAGGGGAUGCUGAGACACGAAAUAGGCUGGUGCAACUGGUUAGAUCGUUGGCCUUACUGUUCUGAGGACUGAGGUUGAAAUCUCGGCCCCGCCUGUGUGGAGUUUGCAUGUUCUCCCCGUGGAUGUGGUGAACCGUGCCUCCUGCCUGAUGAUAGCUGGGAUAGACUCCAGCACUCCCGUGACCCUUGUGAGGAUAAGUAGCUCAGAAAUGUAAAUAUGUUACCAUCUUGAUGAUUGCUGCAUUCUUUAGUUUUCAUCUGAUAACAAGACAAUACCAGACUCCUUCUGAAUCCUCCUCAUCGUAGGAACAUUGACAACUUCUAUUAUCAAUGGCAUUGUCCUCUGUCUCUAAAAGGACCUAUUUGUCUGAUAUAUCUUAGGCUGCAUCACUAUCACAGUUCAAAAUCUGUGACAUUUGUCAAACUUCUGGGGCUUAUAUUUGGUGUGUUAGUUAAAGGUGACACGAGAACAGUGACAAGGCAAGGUAGAGAAGGUUCCUCCUUUACACACACCUAGGUCUGAAUGGCUGUUUAGAGGUAAUCCAAAUAAAGUACAUCAUAAAGCCAUGUUUAUUUUGGAUCUGAACAGCUACCUUCCCUACAUUAAAGACCUGCAACAUCAUCCUUGUAUACAAACUCUGCACAGACAUUCCACUACACAUAACACUUUGCAGAUUUUGCGCACUAGUUGAUGAAAAGUUGUGAAAUUUCGUGAAGAAAAGGAUAGAUUGUACUUUGACCAACACAAAAACGAAAAAAGGGUCAAAUUGACCCAUAACAUAAUACAAGGGUUGGAACAGUGUUUACAUGCAAACAUUAUAGAUAUUUUUUUUUUACUAAAAAGUUUUGUCUUUCCAGUUCUGCAUUAGUUGAGGCCCCUUUAAAUCUAUUUGGAAUAAAAAAAAUCCACUGUACCAAUGGGGCAUGGAAAGAAACAAUUGCAUUUUAAUGUAGGUUGAGCUGCAUCUUAGCUCGUGUUUACUACGUGUACUUCAUUGUCACAAGAUCUAGGUUGGAAUCUCGAUUGGAACAGCUCUCUCUGGGAUUAUGAUGUUGUCCCUGAGCUUGCAAGGGUCAAACUGCCUCCCACAUACCAAGAACUGUCUAGAUUAUAGCUUGUCCUUUUAUGUAAAUAUACGUGUGAAUAGUUUAAUACCUUUCUGAGAUUGAUUGGCAACCAGUCCAGUCCACCCCUUAAUCGCAUUAUUUUUUUAGUCUUAGCAAAGGUUUUCUCUUUGUACAUUCUAUUUUUUUCAGA